This 531-nucleotide ribosomal RNA is filed under the name uncultured Granulosicoccus sp. RNAcentral's name for it is "bacterial SSU rRNA". It matches the Rfam family "Bacterial small subunit ribosomal RNA", at positions 8 to 532 of the family's 1533-position model. The record is from RNAcentral. Lineage: Bacteria; Pseudomonadati; Pseudomonadota; Gammaproteobacteria; Chromatiales; Granulosicoccaceae.
AGAGUUUGAUCCUGGCUCAAAUUGAACGCUGGCGGUAUGCUUAACACAUGCAAGUCGAACGGUAACAGCAGAGCUUGCUCUGGCUGACGAGUGGCGGACGGGUGAGUAACACUUAGGAAUCUAUCCAGUAGCUGGGGAUAACUCGGAGAAAUCCGAGCUAAUACCGAAUACGCACUACGGUGGAAAGAGGGGGCUCUUCGGACCUCUCACUAUCGGGUGAGCCUAAGCCGGAUUAGCUAGUUGGUGGGGUAAAGGCCUACCAAGGCGACGAUCCGUAGCUGGUCUGAGAGGACGAUCAGCCACACUGGGACUGAGACACGGCCCAGACUCCUACGGGAGGCAGCAGUGGGGAAUAUCGGACAAUGGGGGUAACCCUGAUCCAGCAAUACCGCGUGUGUGAAGAAGGCCUGCGGGUUGUAAAGCACUUUCAGUAGGGAAGAAAAGCGGGAGCUUAAUACGCUCCUGAAUUGACGUUACCUACAGAAGAAGCACCGGCUAACUCCGUGCCAGCAGCCGCGGUAAUAAGGGCGA